This 478-nucleotide ribosomal RNA is filed under the name uncultured bacterium. RNAcentral's name for it is "partial 16S ribosomal RNA". It matches the Rfam family "Bacterial small subunit ribosomal RNA", at positions 28 to 507 of the family's 1533-position model. The record is from RNAcentral.
GAUGAACGCUGGCGGCGUGCUUAACACAUGCAAGUCGAACGGGAAUUAUUUUAUUGAAACUUCGGUCGAUUUAAUUUAAUUCUAGUGGCGGACGGGUGAGUAACGCGUGGGUAACCUGCCUUAUACAGGGGGAUAACAGUCAGAAAUGGCUGCUAAUACCGCAUAAGCGCACAGAGCUGCAUGGCUCAGUGUGCAAAACUCCGGUGGUAUAAGAUGGACCCGCGUUGGAUUAGCUGGUUGGUGGGGUAACGGCCCACCAAGGCGACGAUCCAUAGCCGGGCUGAGAGGGUGGACGGACACAUUGGGACUGAGACACGGCCCAGACUCCUACGGGAGGCAGCAGUGGGGAAUAUUGCACAAUGGGGGAAACCCUGAUGCAGCGACGCCGCGUGAAGGAAGAAGUAUCUCGGGAUGUAAACUUCUAUCAGCAGGGAAGAUAGUGACGGUACCUGACGAAGAAGCCCCGGCUAACUACGUG